CGCGGGGUAGAGCAGCUAGGUAGCUCGUCGGGCUCAUAACCCGAAGGUCGUAGGUUCGAAUCCUCCCCCCGCAACCA
This 77-nucleotide transfer RNA is filed under the name Clostridiales bacterium. Its description in RNAcentral is "tRNA-Met". It matches the Rfam family "tRNA". From Rfam's summary of the family: Transfer RNA (tRNA) molecules are approximately 80 nucleotides in length. Their secondary structure includes four short double-helical elements and three loops (D, anti-codon, and T loops). Lineage: Bacteria; Bacillati; Bacillota; Clostridia; Eubacteriales. The record is from RNAcentral. RNAcentral also lists the same sequence under 1 other name.